RNAcentral lists this ribosomal RNA (301 nucleotides) under uncultured bacterium. RNAcentral's name for it is "partial 16S ribosomal RNA". It matches the Rfam family "Bacterial small subunit ribosomal RNA", at positions 509 to 807 of the family's 1533-position model. The record is from RNAcentral.
CAGCAGCCGCGGGAAUACAGAGGGUGCGAGCGUUAAUCGGAAUUACUGGGCGUAAAGUGCACGCAGGCGGUCUGUCAAGUCAGAUGUGAAAUCCCCGGGCUUAACCUGGGAACUGCAUUUGAAACUGGCAGGCUAGAGUCUUGUAGAGGGGGGUAGAAUUCCAGGUGUAGCGGUGAAAUGCGUAGAGAUCUGGAGGAAUACCGGUGGCGAAGGCGGCCCCCUGGACAAAGACUGACGCUCAGGUGCGAAAGCGUGGGGAGCAAACAGGAUUAGAUACCCCGGUAGUCCCUGUCUCUUAUAC